This is a non-coding RNA of Pelobates cultripes (western spadefoot toad), 217 nucleotides long. The record is from the annotation of a GenBank genome assembly. Lineage: Eukaryota; Metazoa; Chordata; Amphibia; Anura; Pelobatidae.
AUUCAAUCAACAGUUCUAGCCAAAAGGUAAGCACAGCAUUAUGUAGCAUGAAGUGAUUUGUUCUAAGCCAGAAGUUAAGAAAAUCUCUCAUUUAGUCAGUUUUGAAUCAAGUGUGGAGUCUGAUGUAUGGAAAUAGAAGCAAACUUGUACUCUUACUCAAUUGCUUAAGUGUUAAAAGGGCACUUCUAGGCAGCGUAACCUCUUUGGCUCAUUGAAG